This 252-nucleotide ribosomal RNA is filed under the name uncultured bacterium. Its description in RNAcentral is "partial 16S ribosomal RNA". It matches the Rfam family "Bacterial small subunit ribosomal RNA", at positions 525 to 776 of the family's 1533-position model. The record is from RNAcentral.
ACGGAGGGUGCAAGCGUUAAUCGGAAUUACUGGGCGUAAAGCGCGUGUAGGUGGCUUGUUAAGCCAGAUGUGAAAGCCCCGGGCUCAACCUGGGAACUGCAUUUGGAACUGGCAGGCUAGAGUUUUGUAGAGGGUGGUAGAAUUUCAGGUGUAGCGGUGAAAUGCGUAGAGAUCUGAAGGAAUACCGGUGGCGAAGGCGACCACCUGGCCAAUAACUGACACUGAGACGCGAAGGCGUGGGUAGCAAACGGG